Molecule: ribosomal RNA, 454 nt
Filed under: uncultured Rikenellaceae bacterium
Lineage: Bacteria; Pseudomonadati; Bacteroidota; Bacteroidia; Bacteroidales; Rikenellaceae
Description: partial 16S ribosomal RNA
Rfam family: Bacterial small subunit ribosomal RNA
Source: RNAcentral
ACGGAAGGCAGCAGUGAGGAAUAUUGGUCAAUGGACGCAAGUCUGAACCAGCCAUGCCGCGUGCAGGAAUAAGGCCCUAUGGGUCGUAAACUGCUUUUGUGGUGGAGCAAUAAGUCGUACGUGUACGGCGAUGAGAGUACAUCACGAAUAAGCAUCGGCUAACUCCGUGCCAGCAGCCGCGGUAAUACGGAGGAUGCAAGCGUUAUCCGGAUUUAUUGGGUUUAAAGGGUGCGUAGGCUGUGGUCCAAGUCAGGGGUGAAAGCCCGGAGCUCAACUCCGGAACUGCCUUUGAUACUGGAUUGCUGGAAUACGGAUGACGUGGGAGGAAUGAGUAGUGUAGCGGUGAAAUGCAUAGAUAUUACUCAGAACACCGAUUGCGAAGGCAUCUCACGAAUCCGUCAUUGACGCUGAGGCACGAAAGCGUGGGGAUCAAACAGGAUUAGAUACCCUGGUA